AUUGAACGCUGGCGGCAGGCCUAACACAUGCAAGUCGAGCGGAUGAAGGGAGCUUGCUCCUGGAUUCAGCGGCGGACGGGUGAGUAAUGCCUAGGAAUCUGCCUGGUAGUGGGGGAUAACGUCCGGAAACGGGCGCUAAUACCGCAUACGUCCUGAGGGAGAAAGUGGGGGAUCUUCGGACCUCACGCUAUCAGAUGAGCCUAGGUCGGAUUAGCUAGUUGGUGGGGUAAAGGCCUACCAAGGCGACGAUCCGUCACUGGUCUGAGAGGAUGAUCAGUCACAGGGGAACGGGAACGAGGACCAACCUCAGACGGGAGGCACCGGGGGGAAUUAUUGGGGAAGGGGCAGAAGCGUAUACGGCCCAAGCGGGGGGGGCAAGAAGGAUCUUCGGAUUGUAAAGGAUUUUAAUUUGGGGAGAGGAAACUUCAUUUAUCACGUUAGUAUUAUGACGUUACCAAAUGAAUAAGCACGGGCUAACUCCGUG
This 484-nucleotide ribosomal RNA is filed under the name uncultured bacterium. RNAcentral's name for it is "partial 16S ribosomal RNA". It matches the Rfam family "Bacterial small subunit ribosomal RNA", at positions 30 to 507 of the family's 1533-position model. The record is from RNAcentral.